RNAcentral lists this ribosomal RNA (269 nucleotides) under uncultured archaeon. RNAcentral's name for it is "partial 16S ribosomal RNA". It matches the Rfam family "Archaeal small subunit ribosomal RNA", at positions 477 to 747 of the family's 1478-position model. The record is from RNAcentral.
CAGCACCUCAAGUGGUCAGGAUGAUUAUGGGCCUAAAGCAUCCGUAGCCGGCGCUGUAAGUUUUCGGUUAAAUCUGUACGCUCAACGUACAGGCUGCCGGGAAUACUGCAGCGCUAGGGAGUGGGAGAGGUAGACGGUACUCGGUAGGAAGGGGUAAAAUCCUUUGAUCUAUUGAUGACCACCUGUGGCGAAGGCGGUCUACCAGAACACGUCCGACGGUGAGGGAUGAAAGCUGGGGGAGCAAACCGGAUUAGAUACCCGUGUAGUCC